This 229-nucleotide ribosomal RNA is filed under the name uncultured bacterium. Its description in RNAcentral is "partial 16S ribosomal RNA". It matches the Rfam family "Bacterial small subunit ribosomal RNA", at positions 568 to 796 of the family's 1533-position model. The record is from RNAcentral.
UGCGUAGGCGGAUUAAUAAGUCAGUGGUGAAAACCUGCAGCUUAACUGUAGAACUGCCAUUGAUACUGUUAGUCUUGAGUACAGUCAAGGUAGGCGGAAUGUGUAAUGUAGCGGUGAAAUGCUUAGAUAUUACACAGAACACCGAUUGCGAAGGCAGCUUACUGGACCAUUACUGACGCUGAGGCACGAAAGCGUGGGGAGCGAACAGGAUUAGAUACCCUGGUAGUCC